RNAcentral lists this ribosomal RNA (501 nucleotides) under uncultured bacterium. RNAcentral's name for it is "partial 16S ribosomal RNA". It matches the Rfam family "Bacterial small subunit ribosomal RNA", at positions 28 to 506 of the family's 1533-position model. The record is from RNAcentral.
GACGAACGCUGGCGGCGUGCUUAACACAUGCAAGUCGAACGGUGAAGGGGCCUGCUUUUGUGGGCCCUGGAUGAGUGGCGAACGGGUGAGUAACACGUGAGUAACCUGCCCCCUUCUUCUGGAUAACCGCAUGAAAGUGUGGCUAAUACGGGAUAUUCUGGGUCUGUCGCAUGAUGGGUCUGGGAAAGAUUGCGCCUUUGGGUGUUUUUGGUGGGGGAUGGGCUCGCGGCCUAUCAGCUUGUUGGUGGGGUGAUGGCCUACCAAGGCGGUGACGGGUAGCCGGCCUGAGAGGGUGGACGGUCACACUGGGACUGAGACACGGCCCAGACUCCUACGGGAGGCAGCAGUGGGGAAUAUUGCACAAUGGGCGCAAGCCUGAUGCAGCGACGCCGCGUGAGGGAUGGAGGCCUUCGGGUUGUAAACCUCUUUCGCCAGUGAAGCAGGCCUGCUCCUUGUGGGUGGGUUGACGGGAGCUGGAUAAGAAGCGCCGGCUAACUACGU